AUUGAACGCUGGCGGCAGGCCUAACACAUGCAAGUCGAGCGGAUGAAGGGAGCUUGCUCCUGGAUUCAGCGGCGGACGGGUGAGUAAUGCCUAGGAAUCUGCCUGGUAGUGGGGGAUAACGUCCGGAAACGGGCGCUAAUACCGCAUACGUCCUGAGGGAGAAAGUGGGGGAUCUUCGGACCUCACGCUAUCAGAUGAGCCUAGGUCGGAUUAGCUAGUUGGUGGGGUAACGGCCUACCAAGGCGACGAUCCGUAACUGGUCUGAGAGGAUGAUCAGUCACACGGGAUCUGAGACACGGUCCAGACUCCUACGGGAGGCAGCAGUGGAGAAUAUUGGACGAUGGGCGAAAGCCUGAUCCAGCCAUGCCGCGUGUGUGAAGAAGGUCUUCGGAUUGUAAAGCACUUUAAGUUGGAGGGAAGGGCAGUAAGUUAAUACCUUGCUGUUUUGACGUUACCAACAGAAUAAGCACCGGCUAACUUCGUG
Molecule: ribosomal RNA, 484 nt
Filed under: uncultured bacterium
Lineage: Bacteria
Description: partial 16S ribosomal RNA
Rfam family: Bacterial small subunit ribosomal RNA
Source: RNAcentral